GUGCAGCAGGCGAGAAAACUUCACACUGUGCGAAAGCACGAUGAGGGAAUCCCAAGUGCUUGCACGUAAGUGUAAGCUGUUUCUCUGUUUAAAACGCAGAGAGAGUAAGGGCUGGGUAAGACGGGUGCCAGCCGCCGCGGUAAUACCUGCAGCUCAAGUGGUGACCGUUAUUAUUGGGCCUAAAACGUCCGUAGCCGGUUUAAUAAAUGCCUGGGUAAAUCGUGUAGCUUAACUAUACGAAUUCCGGGUAGACUGUUAAACUCGAGACCGGGAGAAGUUAGAGGUACUCCUGGGGUAGAGGUGAAGUUCUGUAAUCCUAGGGGGACCACCAGUGGCGAAGGCGUCUAACUAGAACGGGUCUGACGGUGAGGGACGAAGCCCUGGGGCGCAAACGGGAUUAGAUACCCCUGUAGU
RNAcentral lists this ribosomal RNA (414 nucleotides) under uncultured microorganism. RNAcentral's name for it is "bacterial SSU rRNA". It matches the Rfam family "Archaeal small subunit ribosomal RNA", at positions 330 to 745 of the family's 1478-position model. The record is from RNAcentral.